Molecule: long non-coding RNA, 1062 nt
Organism: Phragmites australis (common reed)
Lineage: Eukaryota; Viridiplantae; Streptophyta; Magnoliopsida; Poales; Poaceae
Exons: 2
Source: RefSeq, a predicted model, not a curated record
CAAAACUUAAGCACCAUGAAAUAGAGAAAUGAUGGAGUUAGUCUCGAAAAAGUGAAUAAAAAUGCAAAAGCUUAUCAAAUGAACAUGAUCUUUAGUAGUAACAACUUAAGCAUAAAAACUGGCAUCUGUAAGCUAUAGUUUUUGCAUUUGGCAGACUUUAACACUUGAACACAAUGGAUCACUAAAUAUUCUCACAUUCUCAUGUCACAACCUUUUGUUAGGAUGUUGCACUAGACCGAAACAUUUUGUUUACCAUUUCUGAAUCUCAAGUCUCUUAUUUGGCUCUAGGAGUUUGUGAUGUAAUCUAUUGACCUGCAAUUGUGCUACGUUGCACUAGACCGAAACAUUUUGUUUACUAUUUCUGAAUCUCAAGUCUCUUAUUUGGCUCUAGGAGUUUGUGAUGUAAUCUAUUGACCUGCAAUUGUGCUACGAAGGCUAAAUAAAGAAGAUGCAAGUUUAUAUUUUUGAACAAGAAACGUUGAAUCUUUGCAUGCACAUAAGGGCCUAAAUUGGUCUUAAAGGUGGUUCUGGUACUUAUAGAAUGCUGGCCAGACAAAUACUUAACUUUUUUCUUUCAUGCUUAUUUUGUAUUACAUUUUCUAAGAUGAGUUUAAUUCAUAUGGUUUUCCUAGGUCGGGGGUGCUCCUUUUAUGCAUCUCUGCCAACAAGCAAAAUUAAUGGAUCAUCCUCGUUGGUCGAGCACAAGGACAACAUGGGCACAUAUUGUCUGAGAUUCUAGAGAUUGCUGCAGAAGGAGGACAAGAGGGAGGACAAGGGCGGAUUUGCCACCUGAGCAACUGGGGCCAUGGCCCAGGUUGUGACCCAGCUGCACUUUGGAAGAAGCCCACUGAGUGGCCCUAGCUAUUGGGCCAGCCCAGCUCCGCCCCUGAGGGAGGACAUACGUAUGGCUUGCCAAGCAUUGGAAGUGGUGGCCGUCGAAUUUUUGGCCAAGAAUGGAUGGCGGUUUAGUAAUAAGCUAUGUGGUCUAUAAUGCUAUUUUUAUUUCUGUCCAACUUUCAACUUUGAGCUGAAAUGAUGUAAUAAUGAACAAGGUUGUAUCCA